RNAcentral lists this ribosomal RNA (2349 nucleotides) under Escherichia coli. RNAcentral describes it as "partial 23S ribosomal RNA". It matches the Rfam family "Bacterial large subunit ribosomal RNA", at positions 609 to 2925 of the family's 2925-position model. Lineage: Bacteria; Pseudomonadati; Pseudomonadota; Gammaproteobacteria; Enterobacterales; Enterobacteriaceae. The record is from RNAcentral.
UGUAUAAUGGGUCAGCGACUUAUAUUCUGUAGCAAGGUUAACCGAAUAGGGGAGCCGAAGGGAAACCGAGUCUUAACUGGGCGUUAAGUUGCAGGGUAUAGACCCGAAACCCGGUGAUCUAGCCAUGGGCAGGUUGAAGGUUGGGUAACACUAACUGGAGGACCGAACCGACUAAUGUUGAAAAAUUAGCGGAUGACUUGUGGCUGGGGGUGAAAGGCCAAUCAAACCGGGAGAUAGCUGGUUCUCCCCGAAAGCUAUUUAGGUAGCGCCUCGUGAAUUCAUCUCCGGGGGUAGAGCACUGUUUCGGCAAGGGGGUCAUCCCGACUUACCAACCCGAUGCAAACUGCGAAUACCGGAGAAUGUUAUCACGGGAGACACACGGCGGGUGCUAACGUCCGUCGUGAAGAGGGAAACAACCCAGACCGCCAGCUAAGGUCCCAAAGUCAUGGUUAAGUGGGAAACGAUGUGGGAAGGCCCAGACAGCCAGGAUGUUGGCUUAGAAGCAGCCAUCAUUUAAAGAAAGCGUAAUAGCUCACUGGUCGAGUCGGCCUGCGCGGAAGAUGUAACGGGGCUAAACCAUGCACCGAAGCUGCGGCAGCGACACUAUGUGUUGUUGGGUAGGGGAGCGUUCUGUAAGCCUGUGAAGGUGGCCUGUGAGGGUUGCUGGAGGUAUCAGAAGUGCGAAUGCUGACAUAAGUAACGAUAAAGCGGGUGAAAAGCCCGCUCGCCGGAAGACCAAGGGUUCCUGUCCAACGUUAAUCGGGGCAGGGUGAGUCGACCCCUAAGGCGAGGCCGAAAGGCGUAGUCGAUGGGAAACAGGUUAAUAUUCCUGUACUUGGUGUUACUGCGAAGGGGGGACGGAGAAGGCUAUGUUGGCCGGGCGACGGUUGUCCCGGUUUAAGCGUGUAGGCUGGUUUUCCAGGCAAAUCCGGAAAACCAAGGCUGAGGCGUGAUGACGAGGCACUACGGUGCUGAAGCGACAAAUGCCCUGCUUCCAGGAAAAGCCUCUAAGCAUCAGGUAACAUCAAAUCGUACCCCAAACCGACACAGGUGGUCAGGUAGAGAAUACCAAGGCGCUUGAGAGAACUCGGGUGAAGGAACUAGGCAAAAUGGUGCCGUAACUUCGGGAGAAGGCACGCUGAUAUGUAGGUGAAGCGACUUGCUCGUGGAGCUGAAAUCAGUCGAAGAUACCAGCUGGCUGCAACUGUUUAUUAAAAACACAGCACUGUGCAAACACGAAAGUGGACGUAUACGGUGUGACGCCUGCCCGGUGCCGGAAGGUUAAUUGAUGGGGUUAGCGGCAACGCGAAGCUCUUGAUCGAAGCCCCGGUAAACGGCGGCCGUAACUAUAACGGUCCUAAGGUAGCGAAAUUCCUUGUCGGGUAAGUUCCGACCUGCACGAAUGGCGUAAUGAUGGCCAGGCUGUCUCCACCCGAGACUCAGUGAAAUUGAACUCGCUGUGAAGAUGCAGUGUACCCGCGGCAAGACGGAAAGACCCCGUGAACCUUUACUAUAGCUUGACACUGAACAUUGAGCCUUGAUGUGUAGGAUAGGUGGGAGGCUUUGAAGUGUGGACGCCAGUCUGCAUGGAGCCGACCUUGAAAUACCACCCUUUAAUGUUUGAUGUUCUAACGUUGGCCCGUAAUCCGGGUUGCGGACAGUGUCUGGUGGGUAGUUUGACUGGGGCGGUCUCCUCCUAAAGAGUAACGGAGGAGCACGAAGGUUGGCUAAUCCUGGUCGGACAUCAGGAGGUUAGUGCAAUGGCAUAAGCCAGCUUGACUGCGAGCGUGACGGCGCGAGCAGGUGCGAAAGCAGGUCAUAGUGAUCCGGUGGUUCUGAAUGGAAGGGCCAUCGCUCAACGGAUAAAAGGUACUCCGGGGAUAACAGGCUGAUACCGCCCAAGAGUUCAUAUCGACGGCGGUGUUUGGCACCUCGAUGUCGGCUCAUCACAUCCUGGGGCUGAAGUAGGUCCCAAGGGUAUGGCUGUUCGCCAUUUAAAGUGGUACGCGAGCUGGGUUUAGAACGUCGUGAGACAGUUCGGUCCCUAUCUGCCGUGGGCGCUGGAGAACUGAGGGGGGCUGCUCCUAGUACGAGAGGACCGGAGUGGACGCAUCACUGGUGUUCGGGUUGUCAUGCCAAUGGCACUGCCCGGUAGCUAAAUGCGGAAGAGAUAAGUGCUGAAAGCAUCUAAGCACGAAACUUGCCCCGAGAUGAGUUCUCCCUGAGACUUAGAGUCUCCUGAAGGAACGUUGAAGACGACGACGUUGAUAGGCCGGGUGUGUAAGCGCAGCGAUGCGUUGAGCUAACCGGUACUAAUGAACCGUGAGGCUUAACCUUACAACGCCGAAG